Molecule: ribosomal RNA, 218 nt
Filed under: uncultured bacterium
Lineage: Bacteria
Description: partial 16S ribosomal RNA
Rfam family: Bacterial small subunit ribosomal RNA
Source: RNAcentral
CGUACGCAAUCUACCCAAAACUGAUGAAUAGCCCUCCGAAAGGAGGAUUAAUACAUCGUAACUUAAUGAAGUGGCAUCACUCUAUUAAUAUAGCUCCGGCGGUUUUGGAUGAGCGUGCGCCUGAUUAGGUAGUUGGCGGGGUAACGGCCUACCAAGGCGACGAUCGAUAGCUGGUCUCAGAGGAUGAUCAGCCAGACUGGGACUGAGACACGGCCCAG